UCAGAAGCAGAAUGAUUGAGGGCUGAGAU
Molecule: non-coding RNA, 29 nt
Filed under: Rattus norvegicus (Norway rat)
Lineage: Eukaryota; Metazoa; Chordata; Mammalia; Rodentia; Muridae
Source: RNAcentral